CCUACGGUAGGCUGCAGUGGGGAAUAUUGCACAAUGGGGGAAACCCUGAUGCAGCGACGCCGCGUGAGUGAAGAAGUAUUUCGGUAUGUAAAGCUCUAUCAGCAGGGAAGAAGCAAGACGGUACCUGACUAAGAAGCCCCGGCUAACUACGUGCCAGCAGCCGCGGCUAUACGUAGGGGGCAAGCGUUAUCCGGACUUACUGGGUGAAAAGGGAGCGGAGGCGGUAUGGCAAGUCUGAAGUGAAAGCCCAGGGCUUAACCCUGGGAGUGCUUUGGAAACUGUUAGACUAGAGUGCUGGAGAGGUAAGUGGAAGUCCAAGUGUAGCGGUGAAAUGCGUAGAUAUUAGGAGGAACACCAGUGGCGAAGGCGGCUUACUGGACAGUAACUGACGUUGAGGCUCGAAAGCGUGGGGAGCAAACAGGAUUAGAUACCCCGGUAGUC
Molecule: ribosomal RNA, 441 nt
Filed under: uncultured bacterium
Lineage: Bacteria
Description: partial 16S ribosomal RNA
Rfam family: Bacterial small subunit ribosomal RNA
Source: RNAcentral